UAAUAUAAUAUUUGUUCAAUAUAAUAUGUUAUAUGCUUUGAUUUGUGAUCAUUUGAGUCUCAGCGUCAUUUUUCCCACUUAUAUAUACAAAUAAGGGAAGUAGGAGCCCAAACCACAGUCUCAUAAAAUGAAGCUCAAUGGUCUUACUUUCUUCCUGGUUGUACUCUCUGCAUUUAUUCUCUUUUCUGCUGCUGGAAGAACCCAUCCCGCCACCCUUCAACCCCAAAAUAAUAAACAAAAAGCUAUUGAAUCAGAAAAAGUCGCUCAUACAAAUAGCGGACCAAGCACGUGGGGCGGGUGUUGGAGUUGCUGGAAAAACCAUGACCGGCGUCUUCUCCGCUAGGAAUAUCUAAUGAUGAUGGCAAUAUGCAUCUUUUGUUGAUCCAUGUUGGAAUAACCAAUCGGGCGUUUGUUCUGAUUUUCUGCUUUUUGUAAGACAUUAGACACUGACAAUGUUUUUAAUAAUCUCGAUCUCUUUUAAUAAUAUGUUUGAUA
This is a long non-coding RNA of Lactuca sativa (garden lettuce), 495 nucleotides long. RefSeq lists it as uncharacterized. Lineage: Eukaryota; Viridiplantae; Streptophyta; Magnoliopsida; Asterales; Asteraceae. The record is from RefSeq and is a predicted model, not a curated record.